This is a non-coding RNA of Salmo salar (Atlantic salmon), 2595 nucleotides long. The record is from RefSeq and is a predicted model, not a curated record. Lineage: Eukaryota; Metazoa; Chordata; Actinopteri; Salmoniformes; Salmonidae.
UUGAGAAAUUGUUAAUUGGUAAGAAGCUAUUUUUGUUUCUUUUUCAACAUUUUAAUUGAAAACAGUAAGGUACUUAAUCAAAAUCAAAUCAAAUCAUACUUUAUUAUCAAACUUUACAUGUGUCGAAUACAACAAGUAAAGGGUCCGGUGGUGAUUUUUAUGAAUUGUUCAGCAGUCUUAUAGCUUGGGGGUAGAAGCUGUUUAGGAGCCUUUUGGUCCGCUCGCCGUGCGGUAGCAGAGAGAACAGUCUAUGACUAGGGUUUCCUUGUAAGCAGGAAUUCUCUGAAGGCAGCCCGCCCUUUGGACACUUUCUCUCCGCCUUCUUUCAUGCAAUCACGGGGAUCUGGGCCUGUUCCCGAGAAAGCAGUAUAUUGUUCGCGUCAGGCUCGUCAGACUCGUUAAAGGAAAAAAAGGAUUCUGCCAGUCCGUGAGGCCGGGCCAGACUUCCAAAUCUCUGCCAGAUGUUAGUUGUUGCUAGGCAGCAGAGUCGUCCAAAGUGAUUGGAUCAAGCUGAAGGGGAAGGCGGGUGACUCAACAAGCCACCUCUUCAACUGCUUCCUGCAGGGGAAAGCCUGGACAGGAUGUGCCUGAGAUCUACCACCUGCUUUUUUCCAACCCUGCACUUACUCAAAAUGAUGAAACAAAUCAAUGAAUCAUCAAUCCCUUGAUUAGAUGAAACAGGUGUGUUAGUACUGGGUUGGAACAACAAAGGGACAAGAUUGGAGAAGACUGUCUUGGAAGGAUGCAGGGACACAGGAUCUACAAAAAACACAGUGGAGGCAAAGCUGGUUGUAAUGAUGUCAAUUCAAACAGUUUUGUCCUUUGUGUCAACAAUUGUUUUGACUAGGGCAGGGACAGUCCAUCAGGGAAUAGCGUAAAAGGCAAAUAUUUUAAAUUUUCUAUCAGGAGUCAAAGUUAAUCAUUUUUAUUUUUCUCUUAAUGGGAAAUCCUUUAUUUUAGACCCCGUUGACAGCAGUUUGACACUUGUAAGAGAAUGGUAAAAUAAUGUGCGAUCCGCUCGCUGCACCAUAUGACUUUGGAAUGCAUUCUGUGUUUCACUGAUGUUUAAAUCUUUCACGCCCUUCUUCUCCCUAUCAUGUGAAUUGAAUCUUAUUGAAGAGAUCAGGUACAUUUAAUGUAUCCAUGAUGCAUAGGGACCGAAGGGAAAGGAACACAGCCACUACCGAAACACAGCCACUACCUUGUUCUCUGAACACGGUGUAUGAACUGAGCAAACUGAAGUGAAGAGGAAACUCAGCAACUCUUGGCAGUGGAAUUUAACUCAAAUGCUUCUUUAUUUUUAAGACUAACGCGUUUCAUCAGGGUUUUUUUUUAUUCAGAGACCAUGCACAACACGCAGCACAAGCACCAUGGCCAACAUGAAGCACCAACACAUUGCAUCAGAUUUACUUUGAUCAUUUCCUUCUGUGGUUCCAAGCAUAUAAAAUAUACCACGCAUUCUGUUAGACCAGAACAAUAAACACAAACACCGUGGAUCUUCAGAACUAGGUUUGGGUUCUGGGCUUACAGUCAUGUUUCAUUGUCUGAGCUAAGCCAAUCAACAUUCAUUCUGUGAGAUGGAGAAGCCAUGGCAACUGCAAUCUCGCUCUACAGCACGUCACUGUGCUGCCAUAUUGCUUAUAGGCUACCCAUUCAUCUUCCAGAAUGAGUUUCAUCACAUAACAAACAACGUCUCACACUGCAGGCUCAUUUGGAUGAGUGAAAUGGAAACGUUUGUUCUACAGAUGUAGGAUCUUAAUUUGAUCACAACUAUUACUGACAAUUUUCCUGCAUAGUUUAAAAAGGCUUCUAAAGGUUGUAAUUUACACUUUAUAAUAUCAGACUUGAUUUUCCCUAACAAAAAUGUAUCAACCAAUAAAAAAAAUUCAUUAAUUAUAAUCCACAUAAUAAUUCACAUUUCCUGUUUCUGCAGGAUUAUUUUCCUGCUGUAGCAAACUGGCUCAAAUUAAGACCCUACAUCUGUACCGUACAAUACAGGCCACAUCUCUGUGUGUAUGGAUCAUUACUCUCUCCCUCCCUGGUCAUUUGAUAGGCAAGACACAAAUUAAAACGUCCCGCUGUGUGUGUGUGUGUGUGUGUGUGUGUGUGUGUGUGUGUGUGUGUGUGUGUGUGUGUGUGUGUGUGUGUUUGUGUGAUGCAUUGGGACAUAGGCCACAGUCCAGUCCAACAACUCCCCAUUCCCUAUUGACAGUGUGUUGAUAAAGACGAGAACAAAAAACCUGCUAUUACAUUUAGCUCCUCCCAACUAACGGGUUUGUUUUGUUGAAAGAAGAGACAAAGUAUACACUGUUGUAAGCUGGAAUUGUUUCCAUAAUAAAAAACAGCUCUGCUAUGGCAUUAACUUUAAGAUAAAUUGUAAACACAGUGUUCAAUUUAGAUUUGGAUUGCCUGUUUGUAAAAGUUGUUACAAUGUAGUUGUUUGUUUUGCUAUACUUCUCUUUGCCCCUUUAAUGUCAUUGCAGGCAAUUCUUUAGGUAUUCGAUGAGUAUGAUGACAUCGACAAUGUUGUUGAACUAGAUAAACAGCUCUUGUGAGGUUAAAUUGGUAUAUAAAUUGCUUUUCAGUGGUAGAGCU